RNAcentral lists this long non-coding RNA (861 nucleotides) under Sorghum bicolor (sorghum). RNAcentral describes it as "long non-coding RNA (SBIC_LNC003315)". The record is from RNAcentral. Lineage: Eukaryota; Viridiplantae; Streptophyta; Magnoliopsida; Poales; Poaceae.
CAUCCUGGAUCCUUCUUUUCUGGUAACUUGUUGAGGAUGGUCGUACUGCACUCUUCUGUGAGCUUGAUCACUUUAGUGGAUGGAAGUGGUCUCACUUUAAUGGAUGUACUUAGCAUAUGCAGGGACCUGUAUGGCAUACAACAGAGGUAUAUUGACAUAUAACUUACCUUCACGAACUUACCAAACAGUUCAUACGAUUGUUGUGGUCUUCUAUUUUGACGAGGAAACAAUAGAUAGUUGGUGUCUUGAAAAUUCUGUCUCAUCUCCUAAUCUUAGACUGGUUCUAGUAGUACUUCUUCGAGAAUAUUGUUCUCUUCUUCUACCACUAGUGGUGGCACUGGCAGUACUGCUGCUGGCCUUCUUGCACCUUUUGGAUAGGGAGGAUCUUUGGUAGAACUCCCUCUUCUUGUAGUGAUACAUUGUAACACCCAAAAAUCUGUUUUAAAUUAAUAGGGAUUAAUUUGAAUUAAUUAAGCAUUUUUGUGCACAUUUAAAUUUAGCACUUAAAUAAUUUUUGGUCAAAAUUAAAAUUUAUCAUAAGAUUAGAAACUUGUUUAUGCAUUCAUGCUGAAGAAUAUUUUAUUUUGUAUUGUUUGCCUCUAGUUUGAAUUUAUUUGCACUCAAAAUUUUAUUUGGAAAAGGUUUUUGGAAAAGAAAAUAGAAAAGAAAAAAAAAAGAAGAAAACCCCAGCCGAACCCCCCCCCUCACCCUCGCACUCGGCCCGCUAGUGGCCAGCCAGCCCCCUGGCUUCCCUUCCCGCCCCGGUUCAACACCCCCUCCCUUUUCUUUUUCCCCUACGCGAGGCCCAGCAACCCCGCGGCCCAUGUGCCCCGCAGGCGCGCCCCUCCUUCUCCCUUGACC